GGGGCCGACCUGGCUUCGACGUGGGUCGCGAAGCAGCGCAGUGCAUACCGAGGACCAGUCACCUCGUAAAUCCAUCUGGGAAACUAUAAACGCCAACG
RNAcentral lists this transfer-messenger RNA (98 nucleotides) under Betaproteobacteria bacterium HGW-Betaproteobacteria-21. Its description in RNAcentral is "partial transfer-messenger RNA". It matches the Rfam family "transfer-messenger RNA", at positions 1 to 99 of the family's 374-position model. From Rfam's summary of the family: Bacterial tmRNA, also known as 10Sa RNA or SsrA, is named for its dual tRNA and mRNA-like properties. Its role is to liberate the mRNA from a stalled ribosome. Lineage: Bacteria; Pseudomonadati; Pseudomonadota; Betaproteobacteria. The record is from RNAcentral.